AUGUCAUAUGGAAUAGCCUCAUUUAUUUUGACAAAAACCAGUCUUCAUGCUGUGAUGGUAAUGGAAUCUUUCAAGCAUGCUAUGCUGGUUUGGAAGCCUUUGCACCCUGGCAGAACCAAACAACUGAUGCUGGCAGCUUUAUCAUUUUGGAGAACAAUGACAUUUAAUUUUCUUGACACAAAACCAAUUGUGAUAAAGUCACAAUGCAAAAUCUUUUGUCUUGGGAAAGAAGCAAAGAUAAAAUGGCAAAGUAUACUGGUUUUAAAAAGCUUUUCUUCAUAUUCUUGGAAAGCAAUUUGACUUCUUUCCUACUCCCCUGAACUUCCUGUUCUUCAUGAAUAACCUCCUAACAGGUACUGGAAGGCCGAAAUGGACUUGGUGUGCACCUAAGACAGAGCUGGACAGAGCUGUACUGCUGAACUCUCUAGGGCGAUUGGAAUCCUGGAAAACUGGGAAAAGUAGAAAAUAAACCUUAAGCUGGAGAAAAAAGGAGAAAACUA
Parus major (Great Tit) is the source of this 500-nucleotide long non-coding RNA. Lineage: Eukaryota; Metazoa; Chordata; Aves; Passeriformes; Paridae. The record is from Ensembl.